Molecule: transfer RNA, 67 nt
Filed under: Fibla maclachlani
Lineage: Eukaryota; Metazoa; Arthropoda; Insecta; Raphidioptera; Inocelliidae
Description: tRNA-Trp
Source: RNAcentral
AAGAUUUUAAGUUAAGUAAACUUUUAACCUUCAAAGUUAAAUAUAAAGUAAAAUUCUUUAAGUCUUA